RNAcentral lists this ribosomal RNA (497 nucleotides) under uncultured bacterium. RNAcentral's name for it is "partial 16S ribosomal RNA". It matches the Rfam family "Bacterial small subunit ribosomal RNA", at positions 28 to 507 of the family's 1533-position model. The record is from RNAcentral.
GAUGAACGCUGGCGGCGUGCCUAAUACAUGCAAGUCGAGCGAACGGACGAGAAGCUUGCUUCUCUGAUGUUAGCGGCGGACGGGUGAGUAACACGUGGAUAACCUACCUAUAAGACUGGGAUAACUUCGGGAAACCGGAGCUAAUACCGGAUAAUAUUUUGAACCGCAUGGUUCAAAAGUGAAAGACGGUCUUGCUGUCACUUAUAGAUGUAUCCGCGCUGCAUUAGCUAGUUGGUAAGGUAACGGCUUACCAAGGCAACGAUGCAUAGCCGACCUGAGAGGGUGAUCGGCCACACUGGAACUGAGACACGGUCCAGACUCCUACGGGAGGCAGCAGUAGGGAAUCUUCCGCAAUGGGCGAAAGCCUGGCGGAGCAACGCCGCGUGAGUGAUGAAGGUCUUCGGAUCGUAAAACUCUGUUAUUAGGGAAGAACAUAUGUGUAAGUAACUGUGCACAUCUUGACGGUACCUAAUCAGAAAGCCACGGCUAACUACGUG